Molecule: ribosomal RNA, 490 nt
Filed under: uncultured bacterium
Lineage: Bacteria
Description: partial 16S ribosomal RNA
Rfam family: Bacterial small subunit ribosomal RNA
Source: RNAcentral
AUUGAACGCUGGCGGCAGGCCUAACACAUGCAAGUCGAACGGUAACAGGAAGCAGCUUGCUGCUUUGCUGACGAGUGGCGGACGGGUGAGUAAUGUCUGGGAAACUGCCUGAUGGAGGGGGAUAACUACUGGAAACGGUAGCUAAUACCCCAUAACGUCGCAAGACCAAAGAGGGGGCCCUUCGGGCCCCUUGCAAUCGGAUUGGCCCAGAUGGGAUUAGCUAGUAGGUGGGGUAACGGCUCACCUAGGCGACGAUCCCUAGCUGGUCUGAGAGGAUGACCAGCCACACUGGAACUGAGACACGGUCCAGACUCCUACGGGAGGCAGCAGUGGGGAAUAUUGCACAAUGGGCGCAAGCCUGAUGCAGCCAUGCCGCGUGUAUGAAGAAGGCCUUCGGGUUGUAAAGUACUUUCAGCGGGGAGGAAGGGAGUAAAGUUAAUACCUUUGCUCAUUGACGUUACCCGCAGAAGAAGCACCGGCUAACUCCGUG